AACCCCAUGACUGUCUGACCCUGUUAACCCCAUGACUGUCUGACCCUGUUAACCCUAUGACUGUCUGACCCUGUUAACCUAGUCGGACCCUGUUAACCCCAUGACUGUCUGACCCUGUUAACCCCAUGACUGUCUGACCCUGUUAACCCCAUGACUGUCUGAACCUGUUAACCCUAUGACUGUCUGACCCUGUUAACCCCAUGACUGUCUGACCCUGUUAACCCCAUGACUGUUUGACCCUGUUAACCUAGUCUGACCCUGUUAACCUAGUCUGACCCUGUUAACCCCAUGACUGUCUGACCCUGUUAACCCCGUGACUGUCUGACCCUGUUAACCCCAUGACUGUAUGACCCUAUUAACCCUAAGACUGUCUGACCCUGUUAACCCCAUGACUGUCUGACCCUAUUAACCCUAUGACUGUCUGACCCUGUUAACCUAGUCUGACCCUGUUAACCCCAUGACUGUCUGACCCUGUUAACCCCAUGACUGUCUGACCCUAUUAACCCUAAGACUGUCUGACCCUGUUAACCCCAUGACUGUCUGACCCUAUUAACCCUAUGACUGUCUGACCCUGUUAACCUAGUCGGACCCUGUUAACCCCAUGACUGUCUGACCCUGUUAACCCCAUGACUGUCUGACCCUGUUAACCCCAUGACUGUCUGACCCUGUUAACCCCAUGACUCUCUGACCCUGUUAACCCCAUGGCUGUCUGACCCUGUUAACCCCAUGACUGUCUGACCCUGUUAACCCCGUGACUGUCUGACCCUGUUAACCCCAUGACUGUCUGACCCUGUUAACCCCAUGACUGUCUGACCCUGUUAACCCCAUGACUGUCUGACCCUGUUAACCCCGUGACUGUCUGACCCUGUUAACCCCGUGACUGUCUGACCCUGUUAACCUAGUCUGACCCUGUUAACCUAGUCUGACCCUGUUAACCCCAUGACUGUCUGACCCUGUUAACCCCGUGACUGUCUGACCCUGUUAACCCCAUGACUGUCUCACCCUGUUAACCCCAUGACUGUCUGACCCUGUUAACCCCAUGACUGUCUGACCCUAUUAACCCUAAGACUGUCUGACCCUGUUAACCCCAUGACUGUCUGACCCUAUUAACCCUAUGACUGUCUGACCCUGUUAACCCCAUGACUGUCUGACCCUGUUAACCCCAUGACUGUCUGACCCUGUUAACCCUAUGACUGUCUGACCCUGUUAACCUAGUCGGACCCUGUUAACCCCAUGACUGUCUGACCCUGUUAACCCCAUGACUGUCUGACCCUGUUAACCCCAUGACUGUCUGAACCUGUUAACCCUAUGACUAUCUGACCCUGUUAACCCCAUGACUGUCUGACCAUGACUGUCUGACCCUGUUAACCCUGUGACUGUCUGACCCUGUUAACCCUGUGACUGUCUGACCUUGUUAACCCUGUGACUGUCUGACCCUGUUAACCCCAUGGCUGUCUGACCCUGUUAACCCCGUGACUGUCUGACCCUGUUAACCCCGUGACUGUCUGACCCUGUUAACCCCAUGACUGUCUGACCAUGUUAACCCUAUGACUGUCUGACCAUGUUAACCCUAUGACUGUCUGACCAUGUUAACCCCAUGACUGUCUGAUCAUGACUGUCUGACCCUGUUAACCCCGUGACGGUCUGACCCUGUUAACCCCAUGACUGUCUGACCCUGUUAACUCCAUGACUGUCUGAUCAUGACUGUCUGACCCUGUUAACCCUGUGACGGUCUGACCAUGUUAACCCUAUGACUGUCUGACCCUGUUAAUCCAUGACUGUCUGACCCUGUUAAUCCAUGACUGUCUGACCCUGUUAACCCCGUGACUGUCUGACCCUGUUAACCCCGUGACUGUCUGACCCUGUUAACCCCGUGACUGUCUGACCCUGUUAACCCCGUGACUGUCUGACCCUGUUAACCCCGUGACUGUCUGACCCUGUUAACCCCGUGACUGUCUGACCCUGUUAACCCCGUGACUGUCUGACCCUGUUAACCCUGUGACUGUCUGACCCUGUUAACCCUGUGACUGUCUGACCCUGUUAACCCCGUGACGGUCUGACCCUGUUAACCCCGUGACGGUCUUACCCUGUUAACCCCGUGACUGUCUGGCCCUGUUUACCCUGUGACUGUCUGACCCUGUUAACCCCGUGACUGUCUGACCCUGUUAACCCCGUGACUGUCUGACCUUGUUAACCCCAUGACUGUCUAACCCUGUUAACCCCAUGACUGUCUGAUCCUGUUAACCCCAUGACUGUCUGACCCUGUUUACCCCAUGACUGUCUGACCCUGUUUACCCCAUGACUGUCUGACCCUGUUAACCCCAUGACUGUCUGACCCUGUUAACCCCAUGACUGUCUGACCCUGUUAACCCCAUGACUGUCUGACCCUAUUAACCCUAAGACUGUCUGACCCUGUUAACCCCAUGACUGUCUGACCCUAAUAACCCUAUGACUCUCUGACCCUGUUAACCUAGUCUGACCCUGUUAACCCCAUGACUGUCUGACCCUGUUAACCCCAUGACUGUCUGACCCUGUUAACCCCAUGACUGUCUGACCCUGUUAACCCCAAGACUCUCUGACCCUGUUAACCCCAUGACUGUCUGACCCUGUUAACCCCAUGACUGUCUGACCCUGUUAACCCCAUGACUGUCUGACCCUGUUAACUUUUUGACUGUCUGUACCCUCUAUUACCCAUAGAAUGACUGACUGUAAACCUCCAUGCAUAAAUUCCUCCAUGCAUAAAAUCCUCCUAGUCCCUGUGAGAUCUUCAAAUUCGGCCUAACUGGUCAUUUUCAUGGUCCUUCGAGCCAGAUAGUGUACAAUUUCCUGGACCACUCCGCAUUACCCUACUGACCCCUGUAUUUAACCUUAUCUCUGACUGACAACCUCUUAUCAUUGACCAUCUGGCUAUGCGCUUCCAGAAUCUCUCAUGACCGCAGCUGCCCGUCUAGCUCACUCAAACUAGCUGAUCUAGAACCACUCAAACUAGCUGAUCUAGAACCACUCAAACUAGCUGAUCUAGAACCACUCAAACUAGCUGAUCUAGAACCACUCAAACUAGCUGAUCUAGAACCACUCAAACUAGCUGAUCUAGAACCACUCAAACUAGCUGAUCUAGAACCACUCAAACUAGCUGAUCUAGAACCACUCAAACUAGCUGAUCUAGAACCACUCAAACUAGCUGAUCUAGAACCCCUCAAACUAGCUGAUCUAGAACCACUCAAACUAGCUGAUCUAGAACCACUCAAACUAGCUGAUCUAGAACCACUCAAACUAGCUGAUCUAGAACCACUCAAACUAGCUGAUCUAGAACCACUCAAACUAGCUGAUCUAGAACCACUCAAACUAGCUGAUCUAGAACCACUCAAACUAGCUGAUCUAGCUACUGUUUUAGCCUAUUUCUUUUUAAAUGACUUUUUGAUGAUUUUUUUGCUUAACAAGCACCUUGAGAUUCUGUCUGUAAUGAAAAGCACUAUAAAAGUUUAAUCAAAUAUUAUAAUUAUCCCUGGUUGACCCCAUGACCCUUGCAGUCUACCUUCCUAUCACUGUAUAUAUCCUGGGCUAUGUCCCAAUUAUCACUCCUUUCUCACAAAGUGUGCACUUGUUUACUUCCCUUCACUGAUCUGAAAGGGUUAGUAUGAUUGGUAUAGAAAAAACAUGAUGGAAACUAGCCCAUACCUCCACCAAUCCAAUGCUUUUAUAUUUGUGGUAAGUAGUGAACAAGUGCACACUUCAGGAAAAAUAUGUUUAUUGGGACACCACUUAUAUCCCCUAUAACUGAAUAAAUCCCCAUCACUGUCUUACUCGGUUAAACUCAGCUGUCACUUCUCCUGCUUGAUCCAACGUGUUCAUAAUAAGAAAAGGAAAAGUGAGAAUGUCUUGCAGAGCUCAUUGUAUGAAUGUAUUCCUGUACAGUAUCUGGAUGAAUGUAUAUAUUGUAUGUAGUCGAAUGUGUAGUCAGGUCAUUGUCAGUUGUCAGGCUGGCUCAGUAUCACAGUACAGAUGUAGGAUCUUAAUUUGAGCCAGUUCUUGACCGCAGGAAAAUAAUCCAGCAGCAACAGGAAAUGUGUAUUAUUAUGUGAUUUAAAAUUAAUGGACAUUUUUGUAGGGGUUGAUACAUUUUAAAGUCUGACAUUUUAAAGUGGAAAUUACAAUCUUUAGAAGCCUUUUUAAACCUUGAAUACAUUACACAUUUGCUUUUCCUGUUAUGCAGGAAAAUUCUCAGCGACAAAGAGUGAUCAAAUUUAAGAUUCUACAUCAGUAAAUCGUAUGUUCAGGCCUUUUCAGCCAACUUCAACUCACCAGCAUUCUAAUCUCCUACAGUAGUAUUCAUUUAUAACAAGCAUUUUGCUAAAGAUCACCCAGAAGCGAAUGUAGUGAAAUGUAUAUUCAAUGUUAAAGUUAAGACAUUGAUGGAAAAUGUUAGAAUUGUAGUGUCUUACCUGUCAAUCAAAAUAAAGGCAGAUUUGAAUUCAGUGGCAAUUUCAAAAUCACUCUGAAGUCCAACAAAUCUAAAGUAAAUACAGUUUUAGAAAUAGAUUAUGGUUAAUGCAUACAUCUAUUUUUCUGGUGGAAAAAUACUUAUUACGAUGUACAAAAUCUUGAAUUUAUUUAAAUUGGCUUUUCCUGCCAGUAAAUGUUUGGUUGAGCCUUCGGUCCGUAGAUCUCUUGUAGUUGUGUUAAGUGUAGACCUAGCUUGAUAACGAAGCUUUGAACCUAGAUAGAACUCAAAUGAAGCAAAUAAAAGCAUUUUUUUGUGAAUUUUGUCUAAAGUGUUGUACAGUAAUUUGGAACGAAAUAUACAAUAACGAAGAAAGGGGAAACCAAUAAUAUGUUGCAAUAUCUUUAUGACUAGGCUAUUGUUUCAUGUUUGAAUCAUCAAUACUCUUUUGCUGCCUAUUUUUUGUAAUAUAUGUAUAUGGUGAAUGUUAUGUAUAUAAAGUGUUUGUCAUCUUUAAAUGUUUAAUCAGGGUCAUAUCUUUUGAAAAUCUUCAAGGAUUUUUUGUAUUUACAUGACAUUAUUUUUAUUUUCUUUCUUAACCACAAAUGAAGAUGUCAUGUUGUUUGAUUCUCAUCUUUUAUCAGUUCUCGGUUAAUAAUCAGUAUUUCACAAAGAUCCUUCAUGUUCUUUCAGUGUAUUACCAUCAACAUCCAUAGAAGCAGAAUAUUAAAUGUACAGUAUUUACAUAACUUGAAAUUAGAUGUUCAGACAAUGUAUUGUUAUACCUUCAUGAGAUGUUUUACUACUUUUCAGUGUGCAACGACUUUCUUCUCAAAUUAAAGUUCAAUACAAUAAAGAUGACAACAAAAUA
Long non-coding RNA from Salvelinus fontinalis (brook trout), 5312 nucleotides. RefSeq lists it as uncharacterized. Lineage: Eukaryota; Metazoa; Chordata; Actinopteri; Salmoniformes; Salmonidae. The transcript has 2 exons. The record is from RefSeq and is a predicted model, not a curated record.